Molecule: ribosomal RNA, 396 nt
Filed under: Triticum aestivum (bread wheat)
Lineage: Eukaryota; Viridiplantae; Streptophyta; Magnoliopsida; Poales; Poaceae
Description: partial small subunit ribosomal RNA
Source: RNAcentral
AUGUUCCAUAAACAUGUUGCUCAAUCUGCUGCCUGCCCACGAUGCCAAGAUCCGUGUGAAGAUGCUCUACACCUCAUCUCUAACUGCUCCUAUGGUGCACAAGUUUGGUCUCGCCUCGGACUGCCGGCUCCGACCUCUCUCGCUGCACUUCACCAUCACCCACCAGUUCUGGGCCUCAACCCCAACAUCUGGCCAUCGGUGGCCUUGACCAUUUCCUGGAAGCUAUGGGACUCAAGAAAUGCCUUCGUAUUCAGAAACGAAGACCACCCACCCCGAGUAACGAUAAGAAAUAUUGUAGCAGAUUUCUCCCUCCGGGUUUUCCGUUUCAAAAAGACUGAAGAUAGUUCCUCCGCUAGGCUCUGGCUACACCUUUUAUCCUCUGCAAUCCCCUCUUAA